UCAAGAUUCUUGCUAGUAACUUAAUUCCACAUACAGAGAAAUAAGUAGAAUUGACAGACUACAGCUUCUCCUGCAUUCUUGCAAUUCUCUUUUUCACAUACCACUGAGG
This is a non-coding RNA of Lonchura striata (white-rumped munia), 109 nucleotides long. The record is from RefSeq and is a predicted model, not a curated record. Lineage: Eukaryota; Metazoa; Chordata; Aves; Passeriformes; Estrildidae.